UCGAUUUAGGAUUCGACGAGAUUCACGAAACCCUAGGUGCAUGUCGAGGGGCGGUUGGCCUCGUAAAAAGCCGCACUGUUAUAGUUGCAAACGACUCUAACUACUCUCUAGCAGCUUAGGCUAGCUAGCCAUCAUUUAGAACCCUGCCCGAGGGUCUCUAAUAUUGUAUGGUCAUUUAAUAUCGGGAUCGCGUGGACUCUUCGCUCGUAGAGAAAGCGCUAAACUCAAUCGAGCACGCUUUUGUUCGGCCUGUCACUCGGCUUAAUAAAAAGUUAAAUUAAUAGAGAUGACUAAACAUGUAGUACCGCGGAUGUAGGUUUUUCGGACGGGGGUUCAACUCCCCCCGACUCCACCAAACGCAACUUAGAACGGCACCCUCCUAAGUGUCGCAGCCCAUUGAAUGGUUUGAUUCAAUGGGCUUUUCUUUAUCCAA
This 433-nucleotide transfer-messenger RNA is filed under the name Moritella viscosa. Its description in RNAcentral is "putative sRNA". The stretch from base 1 to 355 matches the Rfam family "transfer-messenger RNA". From Rfam's summary of the family: Bacterial tmRNA, also known as 10Sa RNA or SsrA, is named for its dual tRNA and mRNA-like properties. Its role is to liberate the mRNA from a stalled ribosome. To accomplish this part of the tmRNA is used as a reading frame that ends in a translation stop signal. Lineage: Bacteria; Pseudomonadati; Pseudomonadota; Gammaproteobacteria; Alteromonadales; Moritellaceae. The record is from RNAcentral.